Podarcis lilfordi (Lilford's wall lizard) is the source of this 113-nucleotide non-coding RNA. Lineage: Eukaryota; Metazoa; Chordata; Lepidosauria; Squamata; Lacertidae. The record is from the annotation of a GenBank genome assembly.
GAGUCCCCACUGCGCUCUGGAGGCUUCGGGUUCCUUUUGCUAAAGCUGGGAGAGCAAAACUCUCCUGGCUUUAGCGAAAGGAACCUGAAGCCUGUGGAGUGCAGCGGGAACUC